AUUGAACGCUGGCGGCAUGCCUUACACAUGCAAGUCGAACGGCAGCAUGGAGAGCUUGCUCUCUGAUGGCGAGUGGCGAACGGGUGAGUAAUGCAUCGGAACGUACCGUGUAAUGGGGGAUAACGUAGCGAAAGUUACGCUAAUACCGCAUACGACCUGAGGGUGAAAGCAGGGGAUCGCAAGACCUUGCGUUAUACGAGCGGCCGAUGUCAGAUUAGCUAGUUGGUGAGGUAAAGGCUCACCAAGGCGACGAUCUGUAGCGGGUCUGAGAAGAUGAUCCGCCACACUGGGACUGAGACACGGCCCAGACUCCUACGGGAGGCAGCAGUGGGGAAUUUUGGACAAUGGGGGCAACCCUGAUCCAGCCAUGCCGCGUGAGUGAAGAAGGCCUUCGGGUUGUAAAGCUCUUUUGUCGGGGAAGAAACAGCAGCUCUAACACAGUAUGCGAAUGACGGUACCUGAAGAAUAAGCACCGGCUAACUACGUGCCAGCCGCCGCCGUAA
RNAcentral lists this ribosomal RNA (503 nucleotides) under uncultured bacterium. RNAcentral describes it as "partial 16S ribosomal RNA". It matches the Rfam family "Bacterial small subunit ribosomal RNA", at positions 30 to 523 of the family's 1533-position model. The record is from RNAcentral.